RNAcentral lists this ribosomal RNA (1072 nucleotides) under Salmonella enterica. RNAcentral describes it as "partial 23S ribosomal RNA". It matches the Rfam family "Bacterial large subunit ribosomal RNA", at positions 472 to 1547 of the family's 2925-position model. Lineage: Bacteria; Pseudomonadati; Pseudomonadota; Gammaproteobacteria; Enterobacterales; Enterobacteriaceae. The record is from RNAcentral.
ACUCCUGACUGACCGAUAGUGAACCAGUACCGUGAGGGAAAGGCGAAAAGAACCCCGGCGAGGGGAGUGAAAAAGAACCUGAAACCGUGUACGUACAAGCAGUGGGAGCACCCUUUGGGGUGUGACUGCGUACCUUUUGUAUAAUGGGUCAGCGACUUAUAUUCUGUAGCAAGGUUAACCGAAUAGGGGAGCCGGAGGGAAACCGAGUCUUAACCGGGCGUUAAGUUGCAGGGUAUAGACCCGAAACCCGGUGAUCUAGCCAUGGGCAGGUUGAAGGUUGGGUAACACUAACUGGAGGACCGAACCGACUAAUGUUGAAAAAUUAGCGGAUGACCUGUGGCUGGGGGUGAAAGGCCAAUCAAACCGGGAGAUAGCUGGUUCUCCCCGAAAGCUAUUUAGGUAGCGCCUCGUGAAUUCAUCUCCGGGGGUAGAGCACUGUUUCGGCUAGGGGGCCAUCCCGGCUUACCAACCCGAUGCAAACUGCGAAUACCGGAGAAUGUUAUCACGGGAGACACACGGCGGGUGCUAACGUCCGUCGUGAAGAGGGAAACAACCCAGACCGCCAGCUAAGGUCCCAAAGUCAUGGUUAAGUGGGAAACGAUGUGGGAAGGCCCAGACAGCCAGGAUGUUGGCUUAGAAGCAGCCAUCAUUUAAAGAAAGCGUAAUAGCUCACUGGUCGAGUCGGCCUGCGCGGAAGAUGUAACGGGGCUAAACCAUGCACCGAAGCUGCGGCAGCGACGCUGAUGCGUUGUUGGGUAGGGGAGCGUUCUGUAAGCCUGCGAAGGUGGCCUGUGAGGGUUGCUGGAGGUAUCAGAAGUGCGAAUGCUGACAUAAGUAACGAUAAAGCGGGUGAAAAGCCCGCUCGCCGGAAGACCAAGGGUUCCUGUCCAACGUUAAUCGGGGCAGGGUGAGUCGACCCCUAAGGCGAGGCCGAAAGGCGUAGUCGAUGGGAAACGGGUUAAUAUUCCCGUACUUGGUGUUACUGCGAAGGGGGGACGGAGAAGGCUAUGUUGGCCGGGCGACGGUUGUCCCGGUUUAAGCGUGUAGGUGUGUGUUCCAGGUAAAUCCGGUU